GCUAUUUGCUAUUUGCUGUUUGGAUACAUUCGAAGCUGCCUCUGCUUCGUGAGUAAUUCAAUCUUAUAAUGCACGAGACUGGCCAGCUUACUUGAAUCAUCUGCCCCAAGUGCAAUGGACUUCUCAAGUAACCGCUUUCCCGACUUGCAGGCUGCUCGUUCAAGUGGGGGAGCAACGAUGAGCACGGAAAAUGAUGAUGGCGAUGACGAGAUCGUGGACUUUGGUCGGACUUAAGCGCAUUAUGGACUCCGGCUGCGACUCCGGCGGAUAUUCCGGGACUCGGA
This is a long non-coding RNA of Drosophila mauritiana, 284 nucleotides long. RefSeq lists it as uncharacterized. The transcript is spliced from 3 exons. The record is from RefSeq and is a predicted model, not a curated record. Lineage: Eukaryota; Metazoa; Arthropoda; Insecta; Diptera; Drosophilidae.